CCGAGGGGGUUUGGAGGCAGCAGCUGCGGCCGGAGCGGAGCAGGACUGGGGAGGGAGGGGCAGGGAAUUGAUUAGGGGGAAAGGUAACGAGCUGGAGCCGGCAGACCCAGGCUAGCUGCUCCCAGUGCACCAAGCCCCUCCGGAGCCCAGCGCCUCCCAGGGCAAAACCCGGCAGCUGGCUCGAGCCCUCAGCGUCUCCACUUAGGCAUUAGACUACGGGGAACAUUGGGCUGGACCCAGCAGGUGUCGGACCCAGCAGAUCCCGGGUCACCUGUUUGCUCUGCUUUUCUCCUUUUGAGUUUCGCCAGAGUCAGCCAAUGUCUGUCUGUCUGCUGGAGAAGCGCUUCUGCUCCGAGCCAGAGCCCGACAGCUUCCAGCUGGGAGCUUCCUAGAUUGCUCUGCUGGCGGAGUUUCAGCCUCCUGGGGUCUUCCCCAGUCUCCUGUUGCAGAAGUACUGGAUUCCAGUUGCUUCUGCUGGGGCCCAUUCAAAGUUGCAUACGUUUUGCAAGGGAUAAUUUUCCAGAUACGGUGUGGGACACUCGUUCCUCAGAUCUUGCAUCCUUGUUGAACCGUGGACACCUGAACAGGACACAGUAUUCCAGCAGCAGUCACACCAGUGCCAAAUACAGAGCCCCGUGUAGCUGUCUGGAAAUACGUUCUUUAAGUCCUAUCAGCGCACAGAAGAAAUGUAGUUUCUGUCAUUCAACUUCACAUGAAUUAGUCCUUUGAAAAGAAAAACUUCAGUGACGUGUUUUUGGCCUUGACAGAGGCUUUAAAAGACUUUUGGACCCAAGAGGAGUCGGGUGCAGCUGACUGUUAUUUUAUAUUUCCUUUCAACAUUCAAGGAUUAAUGGGACAAAUCUUCUAAGUGAAGCUGGUGGGAAUCCAUAAGAACUGCAUUGAUUUCAAUGGCAUUAUUCCAGAUUUAUACAGAUGUAAAUGUUGAUAUCAUUUCAGGUAUACUGUGCUCUUUCAGGUUAUUAUUAAUCUCUAGUCAUCUGCAAAACUGGUAAUCCAGAUGGAGCCCUUUUCUUUUUUGGUCCAUGUGCAGGAGAACACUAAGAUAAAACUCAGAUUGGCCAACUGUGAUUCCUCUUGGGAAUUAUACUUUAGAGGCAGUGUUGUUGUUGCAUUGUGUCAUAAUAAGGUGGUUGUAUCAUGAAGGGAGAAGGACCAGAACAUUUGUGGUUUUUAACAGGUACUUGAAAUCUAUCACCUGUUCUUCUCCAUCCAUCGACUGCCCUCUGAGGAGUUAGUUACUCCCUUGAUGUAUGGGAGGUAGCAACAUCAAUGAAAUGAUGCUAGAUUCUAAUAAAGGUUAAGGCCAU
Mauremys reevesii (Reeves's turtle) is the source of this 1328-nucleotide long non-coding RNA. RefSeq lists it as uncharacterized. The record is from RefSeq and is a predicted model, not a curated record. NCBI's taxonomy places the organism in Eukaryota, Metazoa, Chordata, Testudines, Geoemydidae. The transcript is spliced from 4 exons.